AUGAGGCGAACCGGGGGAACUGAAACAUCUAAGUACCCCGAGGAAAAGAAAUCAACCGAGAUUCCCCCAGUAGCGGCGAGCGAACGGGGAGGAGCCCAGAGCCUGAAUCAGUGUGUGUGUUAGUGGAAGCGUCUGGAAAGGCGCGCGAUACAGGGUGACAGCCCCGUACACAAAAAUGCACAUACUGUGAGCUCGAUGAGUAGGGCGGGACACGUGGUAUCCUGUCUGAAUAUGGGGGGACCAUCCUCCAAGGCUAAAUACUCCUGACUGACCGA
This 275-nucleotide ribosomal RNA is filed under the name Escherichia coli. Its description in RNAcentral is "partial 23S ribosomal RNA". It matches the Rfam family "Bacterial large subunit ribosomal RNA", at positions 174 to 487 of the family's 2925-position model. Lineage: Bacteria; Pseudomonadati; Pseudomonadota; Gammaproteobacteria; Enterobacterales; Enterobacteriaceae. The record is from RNAcentral.